AUACGUAGGGGGCAAGCGUUGUCUGGAAUUAUUGGGCGUAAAGCGCGCGCAGGCGGUUCAUUAAGUCUUCUGUUUAAUUCCGGGGCUCAACCUCGGAUCGCAGAGGAAACUGGUGGACUGGAGUGCAGGAGAGGAAAGUGGAAUUCCACGUGUAGCGGUGAAAUGCGUAGAGAUGUGGAGGAACACCAGUGGCGAAGGCGACUUUCUGGCCUGUAACUGACGCUGAGGCGCGAAAGCGUGGGGAGCAAACAGGAUUAGAUACCCUGGUAGUCCACGCCGUAAACGAUGAGUGCUAGGUGUUAGGGGUUUCGAUACCCUUGGUGCCGAAGUCAACACAGUAAGCACUCCGCCUGGGGAGUACGCUCGCAAGAGUGAA
This 376-nucleotide ribosomal RNA is filed under the name uncultured bacterium. RNAcentral's name for it is "bacterial SSU rRNA". It matches the Rfam family "Bacterial small subunit ribosomal RNA", at positions 523 to 898 of the family's 1533-position model. The record is from RNAcentral.